Molecule: long non-coding RNA, 412 nt
Filed under: Homo sapiens (human)
Lineage: Eukaryota; Metazoa; Chordata; Mammalia; Primates; Hominidae
Description: HSALNT0144090
Source: RNAcentral
GUUGAUUCUGGGAUGUCCUUCUGCCUGUCUUCCUUCUACCUCCAACGCUUUGAAGAUGCAAGUUCUCCCUUCAGGAAUCUCUCAUCAGGUGACUGGACUGGAGUACUCAUAUUACUCUUCUUCUCUUGGAAUCAAAGUUGCUUAAGACAACAUGAUCUUUCUCACACGUGCUUGCCAAUUCACCAUAAGCCCAGGGCUGCAACUUAAAAAUCUACUUUCACUGACAGAUAAUCUCCAUCAGAGAAGGCGCCUUCCUUCCCAAGAUCAAGGAAAAGUAAGAUGCUCAGCCAUGCAAAGAACUCUGAUCUUUCCAUUCCCAGUCCACUGUCAAUAAUGUCAGUCAAUGCCAUGUUUUCAGAAAUGCCGUCUAUACCCAGAGUGAACCUCUUGAACGGGAAGCAUGAUUUUAUCU